GACUCUCGGCAACGGAUAUAUCGGCUCUCGCAUCGAUGAAGAACGCGAAAUGCGAUACUUGCUGUGAAUUGCAGAAUCCCGUGAACCAUCGAGUCUUUGAAUGCAAGUUGCGCCCGAAGCCAUUAGGUCGAGGGCACGUCUGCCUGGGCAUCA
This 153-nucleotide ribosomal RNA is filed under the name Nicotiana attenuata. Its description in RNAcentral is "rRNA 5_8S_rRNA". It matches the Rfam family "5.8S ribosomal RNA". From Rfam's summary of the family: 5.8S ribosomal RNA (5.8S rRNA) is a component of the large subunit of the eukaryotic ribosome. The record is from RNAcentral. Lineage: Eukaryota; Viridiplantae; Streptophyta; Magnoliopsida; Solanales; Solanaceae.